UACAGAGGGUGCGAGCGUUAAUCGGAAUUACUGGGCGUAAAGGGUGCGUAGGUGGUUGAAUAAGUUGGGUGUGAAAGUCCUGGGCUUAACCUGGGGAUUGCGCUCAAUACUGUUUAGCUAGAGUACUGUAGAGGAAGGUGGAAUUUCCAGUGUAGCGGUGAAAUGCGUAGAUAUUGGAAGGAACAUCUGUGGCGAAGGCGACCUUCUGGACAGAUACUGACACUGAGGCACGAAAGCGUGGGGAGCAAAC
RNAcentral lists this ribosomal RNA (250 nucleotides) under uncultured bacterium. RNAcentral's name for it is "partial 16S ribosomal RNA". It matches the Rfam family "Bacterial small subunit ribosomal RNA", at positions 524 to 773 of the family's 1533-position model. The record is from RNAcentral.